RNAcentral lists this ribosomal RNA (253 nucleotides) under uncultured bacterium. RNAcentral's name for it is "partial 16S ribosomal RNA". It matches the Rfam family "Bacterial small subunit ribosomal RNA", at positions 524 to 776 of the family's 1533-position model. The record is from RNAcentral.
UACGUAGGUGGCAAGCGUUGUCCGGAUUUACUGGGCGUAAAGAGCACGCAGGCGGUCGUUCAAGUCGCGUGUGAAAGCCCCCGGCUCAACUGGGGAGGGUCACGCGAUACUGAUCGACUCGAAGGCAGGAGAGGGAAGUGGAAUUCCCGGUGUAGUGGUGAAAUGCGUAGAUAUCGGGAGGAACACCAGUGGCGAAGGCGACUUCCUGGCCUGUUCUUGACGCUGAGGCGCGAAAGCUAGGGUAGCAAACGGG